AACGAACGCUGGCGGCAUGCCUAACACAUGCAAGUCGAACGAGACCUUCGGGUCUAGUGGCGCACGGGUGCGUAAUGCGUGGGAACCUGCCCUUAGGUUCGGAAUAACUCCCCGAAAGGGGUGCUAAUACCGGAUAAUGUCUUCGGACCAAAGAUUUAUCGCCUUUGGAUGGGCCCGCGUUGGACUAGCUAGUUGGUAGGGUAAAAGCCUACCAAGGCGACGAUCCAUAGCUGGUCUGAGAGGAUGAUCAGCCACACUGGGACUGAGACACGGCCCAGACUCCUACGGGAGGCAGCAGUGGGGAAUAUUGGACAAUGGGCGAAAGCCUGAUCCAGCAAUGCCGCGUGAGUGAUGAAGGCCUUAGGGUUGUAAAGCUCUUUUACCCGGGAUGAUAAUGACAGUACCGGGAGAAUAAGCUCCGGCUAACUCCGUG
This 433-nucleotide ribosomal RNA is filed under the name uncultured bacterium. RNAcentral describes it as "partial 16S ribosomal RNA". It matches the Rfam family "Bacterial small subunit ribosomal RNA", at positions 29 to 507 of the family's 1533-position model. The record is from RNAcentral.